RNAcentral lists this small RNA (80 nucleotides) under Salmonella enterica subsp. enterica serovar Kentucky. RNAcentral describes it as "isrK". It matches the Rfam family "isrK Hfq binding RNA". The record is from RNAcentral. Lineage: Bacteria; Pseudomonadati; Pseudomonadota; Gammaproteobacteria; Enterobacterales; Enterobacteriaceae.
GUACCUGCAAAAGCGGGUGCCGGGUUUGACAGCCUGAACCACGAAGCGGACAGCCGCUCAUUUUUUAAUGCGGUUUUUUU